GCUCAGAUUGAACGCUGGCGGCAUGCCUUACACAUGCAAGUCGAGCGGCAGCGCGGGGGCAACCCUGGCGGCGAGCGGCGAACGGGUGAGUAAUGCAUCGGAACGUGUCCUCUUGUGGGGGAUAACCAGUCGAAAGACUGGCUAAUACCGCAUGAGAUCGAGAGAUGAAAGCAGGGGACCCGCAAGGGCCUUGCGCGAGAGGAGCGGCCGAUGCCCGAUUAGCUAGUUGGCGGGGUAAAAGCCCACCAAGGCGACGAUGGGUAGCUGGUCUGAGAGGACGACCAGCCACACUGGGACUGAGACACGGCCCAGUCUCCUACGGGAGGCAGCAGUGGGGAAUUUUGGACAAUGGGGGCAACCCUGAUCCAGCCAUGCCGCGUGUGUGAAGAAGGCCUUCGGGUUGUAAAGCACUUUCGGACGGAACGAAAUCGCGCGAUCUAAUAAGCCGCGUGGAUGACGGUACCGUAAGAAGAAGCACCGGCUAACUACGUGCCAGCAGACCGCGGUAAUACGUAGGGUGCGAGCGUUAAUCGGAAUUACUGGGCGUAAAGUGUGCGCAGGCGGCCGAGCAAGUCGAGUGUGAAAGCCCCGGGCUUAACUUGGGAAUUGCGCUCGAAACUACUUGGCUGGAGUGUGGCAGAGGAAGGUGGAAUUCCACGUGUAGCGGUGAAAUGCGUAGAGAUGUGGAGGAACACCAAUGGCGAAGGCAGCUUUCUGGGCCAACACUGACGCUCAUGCACGAAAGCGUGGGGAGCAAACAGGAUUAGAUAUCCCUGGUAGUCCACGCCCUAAACGAUGACGACUAGUUGUUGGGGGAGUUAAAUCCCUUAGUAACGCAGCUAACGCGCGAAGUCGUCCGCCUGGGGAGUACUGUCGCAA
This 879-nucleotide ribosomal RNA is filed under the name uncultured bacterium. RNAcentral describes it as "bacterial SSU rRNA". It matches the Rfam family "Bacterial small subunit ribosomal RNA", at positions 22 to 891 of the family's 1533-position model. The record is from RNAcentral.